This is a small nuclear RNA of Erigeron canadensis, 100 nucleotides long. The record is from RefSeq and is a predicted model, not a curated record. Lineage: Eukaryota; Viridiplantae; Streptophyta; Magnoliopsida; Asterales; Asteraceae.
AUCCCUUCUGGGACAUAUGAUGAAACUGAAAUGAUACAGAGAAAAAUAACAUGAUCCUAGCGCAAAGAUGACACCAAAUUGAGAAAUGGUCCAAAAAAAU